This 57-nucleotide transfer RNA is filed under the name Medicago truncatula (barrel medic). The record is from Rfam by way of RNAcentral. Lineage: Eukaryota; Viridiplantae; Streptophyta; Magnoliopsida; Fabales; Fabaceae.
UAACUUAGAGGUAAAGUUUUAACCUUGUAAUUUAAAGGUGUUGGGUUCAAAACCAAU